This 436-nucleotide ribosomal RNA is filed under the name uncultured bacterium. Its description in RNAcentral is "bacterial SSU rRNA". It matches the Rfam family "Bacterial small subunit ribosomal RNA", at positions 29 to 507 of the family's 1533-position model. The record is from RNAcentral.
AACGAACGCUGGCGGCAGGCCUAACACAUGCAAGUCGAGCGCUGUAGCAAUACAGAGCGGCGCACGGGUGAGGAACACGUGGGAACGUGCCCAACGGUUUGGAAUAACUCAGGGAAACUUGAGCUAAUACCGGAUACGCCCCUUCCGGGGGGAAAGAUUUAUCGCCGAUGGAGCGGCCCGCGUCCGAUUAGCUUGUUGGUGAGGUAAAAGCUCACCAAGGCGACGAUCGGUAGCUGGUUUGAGAGAACGAUCAGCCACACUGGGACUGAGACACGGCCCAGACUCCUACGGGAGGCAGCAGUGGGGAAUCUUGGACAAUGGGGGCAACCCUGAUCCAGCCAUGCCGCGUGAGUGAUGAAGGCCCUAGGGUUGUAAAACUCUUUCGGCGGGGACGAUAAUGACGGUACCCGCAGAAGAAGCUCCGGCUAACUUCGUG